CCUGGGUCAGAACGACGCAGCUGCGCGGCAACCAGAGAGGGCGGCGGGGUCUUCUGUGUUGGAAGAUGAGCCCGCCAGAGGCAUACCCUCGGCCUUAACUCGCUGCAGGCGCUGGAAGAAGGGCUCUGGCGUCUUGUUCCCGACCCUCCGAUAAUUUACAGAGGGCACUAAAGCUGAUCCCCUGGGAGCUUCAGAAUUUAAUGACUUCGCCUGACGAUUUCCUAUUCUUUUCCACAAUGUGCUAAGUCAAAUUAUGGCCAAAUUACCAAUCGCAUGGUAAUUCAGCUUCUAAAUAUAUUUUGCAGAGUGUUUCCAAAAGUUAAAAAAAAAAAAAAAACUUCA
This 342-nucleotide long non-coding RNA is filed under the name Homo sapiens (human). Its description in RNAcentral is "HSALNT0339664". The record is from RNAcentral. Lineage: Eukaryota; Metazoa; Chordata; Mammalia; Primates; Hominidae.